GCAUCGAUGAAGAACGCAGCAAAAUGCGAUAAGUAAUGUGAAUUGCAGAAUUCAGUGAAUCAUCGAAUCUUUGAACGCACAUUGCGCCCGCCAGUAUUCUGGNGGGCAUGCCUGUUCGAGCGUCAUUUCAACCCUCAAGCACAGCUUGGUGUUGGGACUCGCGUUAAUUCGCGUUCCUCAAAUUGAUUGGCGGUCACGUCGAGCUUCCAUAGCGUAGUAGUAAAACCCUCGUUACUGGUAAUCGUCGCGGGCACGCCGUUAAACCCCAACUUCUGAAUGUUGACCUCGGAUCAGGUAGGAAUACCCGCUGAACUUUAAGCAUAUCAAUAAGCGGAGGA
RNAcentral lists this ribosomal RNA (338 nucleotides) under Fusarium oxysporum. RNAcentral describes it as "eukaryotic LSU rRNA". The stretch from base 1 to 125 matches the Rfam family "5.8S ribosomal RNA", at positions 30 to 154 of the family's 154-position model. The record is from RNAcentral. Lineage: Eukaryota; Fungi; Ascomycota; Sordariomycetes; Hypocreales; Nectriaceae.